CUUUUACUGUGCGCUCGGAGAGUCUCUAAUUCAGGAUUAGUUCUUCGAAAAGAGGAGGCCUGGUCACUUGUCUGUUUGCUGUGGGGUGAUGCCAGAAAAACUCCUAAAAUUGGAAGCAGGAUAAUGCAUCAGCAGCCGCAUUUUGGACACCGGGAACAUGCGUGCAAGAAUUAAAAAACUUAUGAGUAGCUGCUAGCCAGGUCAGCCUCCUCACCAGUUUCAUAAUGAUCAAAGAUUGGGAGCGACCCUUGUUGAGAAUGUGACAAGCUGCCUGGUUAUCGAGAUAACACCUG
Non-coding RNA from Pelobates cultripes (western spadefoot toad), 293 nucleotides. The record is from the annotation of a GenBank genome assembly. Lineage: Eukaryota; Metazoa; Chordata; Amphibia; Anura; Pelobatidae.